UACGGAGGGUGCAAGCGUUAUCCGGAUUCACUGGGUUUAAAGGGUGCGUAGGUGGGCAGGUAAGUCAGUGGUGAAAUCUCCGAGCUUAACUCGGAAACUGCCAUUGAUACUAUCUUUCUUGAAUACCGUGGAGGUCAGCGGAAUAUGUCAUGUAGCGGUGAAAUGCUUAGAUAUGACAUAGAACACCAAUUGCGAAGGCAGCUGGCUACACGAAUAUUGACACUGAUGCACGAAAGCGUGGGGAUCAAACAGG
Molecule: ribosomal RNA, 253 nt
Filed under: uncultured bacterium
Lineage: Bacteria
Also listed under: 1 other name
Description: partial 16S ribosomal RNA
Rfam family: Bacterial small subunit ribosomal RNA
Source: RNAcentral